Long non-coding RNA from Zalophus californianus (California sea lion), 408 nucleotides. RefSeq lists it as uncharacterized. The transcript is spliced from 3 exons. Lineage: Eukaryota; Metazoa; Chordata; Mammalia; Carnivora; Otariidae. The record is from RefSeq and is a predicted model, not a curated record.
CAGGGAAGAGAGCAGGGGUUUAUCCUCCGGAAGUCACCUUCCAGAAGACUUCAACAGCACAGAAGUGGAGAGGAUGUCUCAUUUCUUCACAGUUGUUGGCUUCACAGCGCCAGCCCAUUAAAGAGACUGUGGAAUCAAAAUGCUGAAGAUGUUAGACAGAAAGUGUUGCUGAAUCAGUCCCUUCGAAGAGGCUGGCGCGAAUGAGUCACGUGGUGCAGAGGGAGAAGAAGCCGGGCACACUCCUAGCUGUCGAAGAUUUUAUUUACUCCGAAGGUUUGGUAUUUGUGUGAGUGCAGUGAAAAAAUAAGAGGAAACAUCAUGGGAAGAUGUAGCAAGAACAUGGCCGACUGCAAACCAGGAAGCACACCCUUUCCAGGAAUGGAAUUGGUCAGUAUCUUGAUCUCAGAC